This is a non-coding RNA of Schizosaccharomyces pombe (fission yeast), 648 nucleotides long. The record is from the annotation of a GenBank genome assembly. NCBI's taxonomy places the organism in Eukaryota, Fungi, Ascomycota, Schizosaccharomycetes, Schizosaccharomycetales, Schizosaccharomycetaceae.
CAGGAAUAGGUGGAGGAUCUAACGCUAGUGAAAUGAUCGAGACUUGGUCAAAGGGGUUAAGUUCUCCGACGGCUGCAAUUUCAUGAAUUGGAGCUUCCACUAAUUUCAAGCCAUAACGCUCUAAAAUCCGUGACCAAGAUUGAAGGAGCUUCUCGAUAACACUUGCUGUAGCCAAUAACCAUUCAAUGCGAAUAUGAUAACAUGAGGCAGGAUUAUGAAGCAAAUCGUAAUGGACGGUCACUGUUUCGGAUUUCCCAUUUUUUUUCUCAACGUCUGCAUUAAACAAAAUGCGUCUCGACAACUCUAACCGAGAAGGACCAGCUUCUGAUUCUGUUAUUAUUUUAUUAUCUAAAUGUUUUUGACCUGAAUCUUUUUUUCGACUGAACCAACUACGAUAUGGCCUGUUUGAAACAGGUUUGAUACUGUAAUCGGGUGAAAUUCGAUAAACAUAGUAGCCAUCUAACAAAGGGUGUUUUUUUAAUGCAUGAUCAAAGAGUCCUAGGCUUAACAACUUAUUUCCAUAUUUAAGAGCUUCUUCUCUAGUAUUGAUACCAAUGAAGGUAUUAGCUAACCAGGAAACAAAUUCACUCCCAAGAAAACAAUUCUCAUAAAUUCUGUAAUGCCAUGUAAUAUCGUCAAUUUUAGGAC